RNAcentral lists this long non-coding RNA (1919 nucleotides) under Pongo abelii (Sumatran orangutan). RNAcentral's name for it is "lncRNA (ENSPPYG00000036874.1)". The record is from RNAcentral. Lineage: Eukaryota; Metazoa; Chordata; Mammalia; Primates; Hominidae.
GAAGACUACAGGCUUCCAGGAGCAGGAUAGUGAUCGCUCACACCAAAGCCUUGGACCCCUCCCAGCCUGUGACCUUUGUGAGCAACUCUAACUAUGCAGCAGACAAGGGGGCUCCGUAUGUGGACGUGAUCUGCUUGAACAGCUACUACCUUGGUAUCAUGACUACGGGCACCUGGAGUUGAUUCAGCUGCAGCUGGCCACCCAGUUUGAGAACUGGUAUAAGAAGUAUCAGAAGCCCAUUAUUCAGAGCGAGUAUGGAGCGGAAACAAUUGCAGGGUUUCACCAGGAUCCACCUCUGAUGUUCACUGAAGAGUACCAGAAAAGUCUGCUAGAGCAGUACCAUGUGGUUCUGGAUCAAAAACGCAGAAAAUACGUGGUUGGAGAGCUCAUUUGGAAUUUUGCCGAUUUCAUGACUGAACAGUCACUGACAAGAGUGCUGGGGAAUAAAAAGGGGAUCUUCACUCGACAGAGACAACCAAAAAGUGCAGCGUUCCUUUUGUGAGAGAGAUACUGGAAGAUUGCCAAUGAAACCAGGUAUCCCCACUCAGUAGCCAAGUCACAAUGUUUGGAAAACAGCCCGUUUACUUGAGCAAGACUGACACCACCUGCGCGUCCCUUACUCCCCGAGUCAGGGCAGCUUCCACAGCAGCAGAACAAGUGCCUCCUGGACUGUUCACGGCAGACCAGAACGUUUCUGGCCUGGGUUUUGUGGUCAUCUGUGCUAGCAGGGACCACUAAAGGUGGAAAUAAAAGAUUUUCUAGUAUGGAAAUAAAGAGUUGGCAUGAAAGUGACUACUGAAAAGCAUCUGAAAUCAUUUCUGUGCAUCGCGCUGUUUUCAGAGCCUUAACUGUGUGUGGACUUUCGAGAAACUGCUGCUCCAACACCCCCACCACGUUCAGAGCAGCUGGUUCUCGAGGGCGUCUGCAGGAAUAGCCCCAUGCUCCUAGGGCCACCAUGUUUGUGCAGCACACGGGGCCAGCCUGGACAGGGAGUGAGUAGAAGACUUUCACAGCUGCUGCUCGACUCCUCAGAUGAGCUAAAGUCCCACAUGUACCAACAAACUCAUAGAAAUGCUGUCGUUGCAGCACUUAACAGGGUCUGUGUGCCAGUGUCCACAUAGUUAAGCUGGCAGUGUCUGAAUUGGAAGGUUAGAGGUAACUGGUUCUCCCAGAACAUUGUUCUGACCUCAGCCAUAGGGUCUUGACAGAAAUGGACAGAUGAGUGUAAAAGCCCAUUGGCUUUAUCAUAAUGGAUGCCACUGAAUGUGACAAGACCUCCUUAAACAACUCUGCCUACAAAUCAGCAUUCCAUGCCUUUACACUUCAAAAUGACACCACCUGCCCCCUCCCAGAGCACAGUCUUUCCUUAAGGAAUCUGUCCUCCCUGUUUUCCCAGGCUCCAGUAAGGCAAGGAUGGUGCAUCAAUUCUGAUUUGAAGUAUGUGCUUUGGAAAAAUAUUCCUUUUGGUGUCCAGUCAGUUGAAAGACAAUGAACCAAUACAGUUUUGUUUUGUUUGUUUUGAGACAGUCUUGCUCCAUCGCCCAGGCUGGAGUGCAGUGGCUCAAUCUUGGCUCACUGCAGCCUCCACCUCUGGGGUUCAAGCAGUUAUCCUGCCUCAUCCUCCAAAGUAGCUGGAACUACAGGCACCUGCCACCAUUCCCAGCUAAAUUUUAAAAAAUAUUUUUAGUAGAGAUGGGGUUUCACCAUGUUGGCCAGGCUGGUUUCAAACUCUUGACCUCAGGUGAUCCACUCACCUCAGCCUCCCCAAGUGCUGGGAUUAUAGGCGUGAGCCACUGUGCCCGACCUCCAAUAUGGUUCUUGCUAUAGAACUUGAUUUUCCCCUCUCUUGUGGUUGAGCCCUGUGUCUCCACACAGACCCUCCUUUUUAGCUUUCCUGUGCAAGCUCCAUGAAAGAAAGA